UACGAGUGCCCCAAGCGUUAUCCGGAAUCAUUGGGCGUAAAGGGUGUGUAGGUGGUUUUGUUAGUCUUCUGUCAAAUUUCCCGGCUCAACUGGGAACCUGCAGAGGAAACGGCAAGACUCGAGGAUGCGAGGGGUGAAUGGAACUCAUGGAGUAGGGGUGAAAUCCGUUGAUAUCAUGGGGAACACCGAAAGCGAAGGCAAUUCACUGGCGCAUUCCUGACACUGAAACACGAAAGCGUGGGUAGCGAAUGGG
RNAcentral lists this unclassified non-coding RNA (253 nucleotides) under uncultured Parcubacteria group bacterium. RNAcentral's name for it is "contains 16S-23S intergenic spacer region". It matches the Rfam family "Bacterial small subunit ribosomal RNA", at positions 524 to 776 of the family's 1533-position model. The record is from RNAcentral.